This 441-nucleotide ribosomal RNA is filed under the name uncultured bacterium. RNAcentral describes it as "partial 16S ribosomal RNA". It matches the Rfam family "Bacterial small subunit ribosomal RNA", at positions 339 to 795 of the family's 1533-position model. The record is from RNAcentral.
CUACGGGAGGCUCCAGUGGGGAAUAUUGGGCAAUGGGCGCAAGCCUGACCCAGCAACGCCGCGUGAGGGAAGAAUGUCUUCGGAUUGUAAACCUCUGUCCUUGGGGACGAAAAAAAUGACGGUACCCAAGGAGGAAGCUCCGGCUAACUACGUGCCAGCAGCCGCGGUAAUACGUAGGGACAAGCGUUGUCCGGAAUUAUUGGGCGUAAAGGGUGCGUAGGCGGCGCUGUAAGUCAGAUGUGAAAUCCCCGGGCUUAACUCGGGAGUUGCAUUUGAAACUACAGUGCUUGAGUAAAGAAGGGGUAAGUGGAAUUCCUAGUGUAGCGGUGGAAUGCGUAGAUAUUAGGAGGAACACCAGUGGCGAAGGCGACUUACUGGUCUUUUACUGACGCUGAGGCACGAAAGCGUGGGGAGCAAACAGGAUUAGAUACCCUGGUAGUC